RNAcentral lists this small nuclear RNA (76 nucleotides) under Homo sapiens (human). Its description in RNAcentral is "partial ncRNA". Lineage: Eukaryota; Metazoa; Chordata; Mammalia; Primates; Hominidae. The record is from RNAcentral.
AAAUCGCUUGAACCCAGGAGGUGGAGGUUGCAGUGAUCCGAGAUUACACCACUGCACUCCAGCCUGGGCGACAGAG